RNAcentral lists this long non-coding RNA (2315 nucleotides) under Mytilus galloprovincialis (Mediterranean mussel). Lineage: Eukaryota; Metazoa; Mollusca; Bivalvia; Mytilida; Mytilidae. The record is from RNAcentral.
GGUUUUAUAUUAGAUUUUUCUGUUAUAUCAGAGACAUGACAAGUUUGUGCUUUUCUCAAAUAAAGGAUGAUCGUUCCUCUUGAUUGAUUUUUAUGUCAGGUAUGUGGACUCCUCUUGUUUUGUACAUUUAACGCCAUUAGCAUUUUUUACUAACUUUCCCCUGCUUAUCUUUCCAUAAUUUUAUUACAUAUAGUUUGAAAAGCAAUAUCUGAAAAUCAUUGAAAAUCAUUGUUAUUUUUUCAUAGCUUUUGAAAAUCAGGUGCAGAUGUUAAAAGUAUGAAAACACAGAGAUAAUCAUUUUCUUCCAAAUUUCAAUUGCUUAUAUCUUGAAAGCAUGCACACGGACCCUUAUUUUUUCUGUUUUAUUAUUCCCAUUUUUGUGUACUAUCAAUUGAUAACAGUCUUUUAAGGGGCUUGAUAGUUUGAAACAAAGUAGCAAACAUCUUAACGAUUGGCACUGACAGUUUAAAUUGAGUCAUUGAUCAAAAAUGAAAGUCUAUGAAUAGAUAACUGUUGUUGUCACAAUCAAAACUUUUCUCAUUGAAAAUAUAGUGUUUUUGUUGGAAAUUUGAUUUUUGUUGAAUUUAUUCACAACUUUUCAAAGAUCAUAUUUUUAAAAUAUUGUCUUGUAGUUAUCUCAUUUUUCUCAGAAGUGCAAUGCCGUAUUUUUCUCUUUUCCGUUGGUUACCGAUUCAGAUUUAUUUAAACAUUUAUAGUGGAAUUCGAUGUGACUGUCAUACAAGUGAGAGGUUUAGCGCUAUAAAACCAAUCCACCAUUUUUUACAUUUGAAAAUGCCUGUACCAAGUCAGGAAUAUGACAGCUGUUCUACAUUCGUUUGAUGUGUUUUAUCAUUUGAUUUUGCCAUUUGAUUAGGGACUUUCCGUUUUGAAUUUUCCAUUAUAGCUCAAAGUACGGUCUUCAACACGUAACCUUGGCUCACACCGAACAACAAACUAUAACGGGCCCAAAAAUUACUAGUGUAAAACCAUUCAAACGGGAAAACCAACGUUCGCAUAUUUCCAAUACUCAUCGACACAUGUCUAAGGACGGCAGGUAUUUUACCAAGGAUUUUAUGUACCGUACAAAGUGUCCUUGUCUAGCCUUCAAUCGUCCGACAGAUACGAACCAGGACGGGUACUUCAUUAAACGGCGCCCAGGACAAAGGCUAGUUCGUACUGAAACCAACCGUGCAAUGGAAUAUUCUCUUGUUACAAUAUCUAUAAACGACACAUUCAGGCAGUUGUUAUUCAAAAACUUAUUGAAAACACUCAACGGUUGUUUUGGGGUGAGAGAUCCGUUUGCGCCAAAAUUGCGUCCUUUUUCGCCACAACUUUUUUUCUCCAAUGCUACGUUUGCGCCACAUGUUUUAAAAUUACAUCUCAUUUGCGCCAAAAAUAAAACAUACGAUUGCGCCAAUUAAAAGAAAAAUGACUUCCCUAAUUCGAACUUUGAACCGGCAGUUUACACGGCAAAUGUUUCCUUUUCUGAAACAUAUCUUCUUAUUACUGCUGCUGCAAGGGUACUUCCCAAUUUAAUGUAUGUGGUAGCUUGUAACUUCACAUUAUUGUCCAAAAACACAACAUUGAAGGAUGAAAUGCAUAAAACAGUCCAUAAUAAUUCCUAAUAAUAAUAAAGCCCAUACGCAUGGUGGGAACAAAGCACUGUGUCAUCAACAUAUGUGGCUAAAACAUAAUCAGCAAAAGCUUCUAUUUUCUUCUCUAUUGGCAUAUAUAUAUAUAUAUCUUUAUUAAAUAUUCAGCAAAGCAAUAAGUUUUAUUCUCUCUCUGUACAUUGACUGUCUACUGCAUUUUAAGUCAUUUCACUUCAGAUGCUCAUCUUCAUGGUGAAAAAUCUCCGAACAUAUAUAUGAUACUUUUUUUAGCCAAAAAUAAGAAUAAAUAUAUAUUUAUAAUCAUUCAUUUUUAUGAUAGAUAUCUGUACAGGAAAAUUGGGGCAAAUGAGUUCCAAAGAUUGGCGCAAUUGAUACAUUUGGAAAACAAAAUUUGGCGCAAAAGAUACCCCGGAAAAAACAGUAAUUUGCGCAAAAGGACUGCUGCCGUUUUGGGAAUGGAAAAAGAAAUAUGGUACCCUUGUCUUUCCCCACCGAGCAGUAAACACAAUGACAAAUAGGGACGUCCGUUUGGCUGGGUGAAAUACAUGAAUUAACGACAUGGUCCAGGCCGAAUAUGGACGCUGAAAGACAUGCCCUCUGCAUAAAACGAAUCGAUUGCAAAUUUUAAUACUCAUUGAAAGGUUCGUAUGGAGUUGGUAUAAAGACCAAAUAACUAUUUAUUUUCCACAGUCUUAAUCCUCC